GCUUACUAGUUUUGUCUCUUCCCGUUUUAGAUUUGGUUGUCAUUUCCCAUUUGGGACCGUCCGUCUGUCCGUCUGAUCGAUGAUGACUAGCUAUGUUUACCGUUUUAUUAUUUCCGUUCCUUUCAUCAAGUUUGCAGUUCGAGUUAUGUAACCCAAAGACGUAUGCUUUGCUUCAGAAGUAUUAUUGACUAGUAGUACUAUUGCGUCUUAAAUUCCUGUUAAGCUGAGAUUUGAUUAUGUGUGCAUGUGCAUUGCAACCCGUCUCGCAUGUUAUCUUUUCCUCUGGAGAGACAAAAUUUUUUAACCUCAACUGGUCAUAAAGAAAAUGUAACAAAACGGAACGGAACGCAUCACGUGUAUGCAAGUGUCAGCGCCGCGCUAACGUAAUUUGUGCAUGCACUACCAUAACAAAAACCGCGCUUCAGCACGUGCAGAACACAUUCCUCGCGGCGACUCGAAAACCUGCACGCGGCCCAACGGCAAGCUAAAGACAUGCCCCGUCGUUCUCAAAAAAAAAAGACAUGCCCCGUCGUUCUCAAAAAAAAAAAAAGACAUGCCCCGUCUCGCACUGUCACAGUAGUGCAUCGGAUGCCCUUGUCGUCUUUUACCAUGGCCAAUGCCAUAUCCAUAUGCACCUGCAUGCAUGUGCCGGCCGGCCAGGUGCGAGAGAUGCGGUCAAAAGCAUCGCUCGUCCAGGCAAGUUUCCGGCCCUCGCGGCGGGCGGCGUCGGCACCAGGUCCAGCGGAUUGGCUACGGCAGCUCCCGGCGAGAUUCCCUCCCUCCCUCUCUUCUUCGGUUAUCUCGCCUCGCUUUAUACAUGGCCUCAGCUUUGGCUCGCCGCUUUCCUUCUUUCUUUAGGCCUCUCCUUUGGUUUCCUUGUCUCUUUGUAGUAUGCGUGUCUUUUAUCGUGGGGAGGAGGAACCAAAGGCGGCCGCCCGGCCCGGGGGUAGCUAAAGCCUUGCUGCUGCUGGUGCAGACGCUGCCUUUGGAGGCACCGUGUUCCGUUGCUUGACCUCCUUUGCAGUUGCGCGCGACGGCGAGUGACCACCACAUUGCACGGAUUUUCAAGAUGAUGGCCACACCAAAGUACGUACUAGUAGUAGUGGCUUUUGGAGGAGCGGGGUGGCAUCGUGGAGUUCACCUGAAUCCCUAACUAAACUCGAACCUACUACUGACGAUGUGUUUCCCCCCUUUCGGAUGGUUUUACUGCAUACUUGCGAGCAUUCCUGAACUUAUAGGAUUCUAAAAAGGGGAUACCGUUUCGAAAUAAGUGGCUCUCCCUCCGUCUCAAAAUAAAUGUCUCGACUUCGUACUAACUUUAGUACAAAGUUGUACUAAGGCUGAGACAUUUAUUUUGGAAUGGAGAGAGUACUACUUAUAACAAACAGUUUGGAAAACUUGCACGGAAUUAUGUUCGAAUUUGAAGAGAGAAAAAACAAUUCUGCCUCCUAUCUAUUUUUUGAAUGUUGGUAGGAGUUCUACCAAAUUCAUUGAUCAGUAAGGAGUAAAAACAGUACAGAAGGGUGCCCAAUAAAAAAUGAACAAAGCACCUAAGAAAGGGUGCUAAAAGAGGAAAAAACAAGCCAACAAAUCAGCCUGGGUCGAAGGGGAUCCUUGCUCCUGCCAUGUUCCAGAUUCUAAUUUCCUCCUUAAUUCUCCUCAACAGCGUGCUAGUAUCCAUCCGCUUGUUGUCGAACAGCCGUCUGUUUCGUUCGCACCAUAUUUCCCAAGAGAUUAGGUGCAGAAGAGACAAGGUCCCUUUCUUUUUUGCGAUCGGUGCUUUUUGCCAGCAGCUUUGCAUCCAUCCUCCAACGCUGUGCAGCUCCAUCCAGGAGAUUGGCCGCAAUGAUGGCAAGGCAGCCACAGCCGCGAUCAAGUCCCAGGCCUUCCUUGCCCACGGGCAUUCCACAAGAAGAUGGAAGGCAGUUUCCAGAUUUCUCUGACACAAAGGACAGAAAUAGUUGUUCUCCCAUCCGCGCCGCAGCAACACAUCGGCCGUCCCGUCAAAUUCUGCCUCCUAUCUAUGAUACAAAGGUAUGCCCCUGUUUGUUCUGCCUCAUAUCUAUGAUACAAAGGUAUGCCCCCGUACGUUCAAAGCAUAUUGUUAUACUCCCUUAUUUCAUAAUGUUUAAGUAUUUUUGAAAAAUCAACCCUGACAAACUUUGACCAAAUUUAUGGAGAAAAAAUAUUUACAUCUAGAAUGUCAAACAUGUAUCGUUAGAUUCAUCGUAAGAUGUAGUUUCAUAUUUUUAUAUAUUUGGUAAUGUAGAUAUAAAUAGUUUUCUUUAUAAACUUACUCAAAGUUUGGCUUUUAAAACAAAUGCAUUAUGUUAUGGAACGGAGGGAGUACUUUUUACAUAAAUCAUUCAAUACAAAUGUCUCAUAUUCCUAAAUAGCGUUGAACCUAGUAUAAAUUUUUAGCCAUGCUCUUUGGGCAUUGAAAGAUUUUCAAGUGAAACUUGCAAGGUUUUAGUUCUCUCUUCGUGUGAAAACUCAUGACCUAGCCUAUGGCUAGAUCAGGCAAUGUUGACAUACACAUGUUGUUACCUUGUUCAAGAUGUUGGUUCAAAGCCUUCUUCGAGGGUGACAGCUCUUAACAUCUGGUUGGACCAACCAAUAUCAGCAUGUGAGCGACGAUUCCUUCUUGAAGGCGUUGUCUUGGAUUGAUGUGUACUUUUGUGACGCCCUCAAUUUAAUCGUACACUAAUCAUACACGCAAAUGUGCACGAUCAAGAUCAAGGACUCACGGGAAGAUAUGACAACACAACUUUAGACACAAAUAAAAUAAUACAAGAUUUAUAUACAAGCCAGGGGCCUCGAGGGCUCGAAUACAUAAGCUCGAUCUUAAACGAGUCAGCGGAAACAACAAUAUCUGCGGAUAGACAUAAGUUAAACAAGGUGCCAUAAGAUGGCUAACACAAACAGGCAUACAGAUCGAAGCGGUGCAUGCCUCCUGCCUGGGAUCCUCCUAAACUACUCUUGGUCGUCGGCGGCCUGCACGUAGUAGUAGGCACCCUCGGUGUAGUAGGGGUCAUCGUCGGUGGCGUCUGGCUCCGGGGCUCCAGCAUCUGGUUGCGACAUCCGAGAAGAAUGGAAAAAGGGGGGAAAGAGGGAGCAAAGCAACCGUGAGUACUCAUCCAAAGUACUCGUAAGCAAGGAUCUACACUACAUAUGCAUCGGUAUCAAUGAAAUGGGUAGUAUCUAUGGAGUGAACUGCAGAAUGCCAGAAUAAGAGGGGGAUAGCUAGUCUAUCGAAGACUACGCUUCUGGCGGCCUCCAUCUUGAAGCAUAUAGAAGAGAGUAGCAAGUAUAGCCUCAACUAACAUCAUAUAGCAUAAUCCUACCCGACGAUCCUCUCCUCGUCACCUUGUGAGAGAGCGAUCACCGGGUUGUCUCUGGAACUUACCUGGGCGUGAUUGAUUAAGUAUCUGGUUCUAGUUGUCAUGAGGUCGGAAUACAACUCCAAGUCUCCUGUUACCGUGGACACGGCUCGUAUUCGUCUUCUAGGAUUCCAUAUUUAGAUUCUUCUAGGGUUGAAUUGUAUUUUUAUUGAUCAAUUAGAAUUGACUUCUAGAACGUAUAAUUGUCUAAAAAGGCAUUUCUUCGAUUUGUUCUCCUCUUCUAAGGUUAUAGCUUUCGUGCUAGCUUCAUCGAUGUUACCCACCAAAUAAAGAGCUUGUUCAGGUAGGCCGUCUAAUUCUCCGGAAAAAUCUCGUGCUGAAGAGCGUGGAGGUUCGUUUCGGUAUAUUGAAAUAUAAACAUAAAAAAGAAGAUAGAGGAUAGGCUCAUUACUUAAAAAAAAGCUUGCAAAUGGAGUCCUGAACUAGCCGCAGCUUGUGAAGUAUGGAAGGCGAUCAAAUUCGAGUUCGCUCGGGCCCCCCUGGAAGGGGGCCUUCUUUGCCUUCCUUUAAAUUGAGUAUCCGUUUCCCUCCUUUUCCCGCUAGGAUCGGAAAUCCUUUUCUAUAUGGGUUGCCCGGGACUCGAACCCGUUAAUUAUGUCUCUCCUAGAGGUUGGUUAUCAACUUCUCAUUUUAUUCUAGGAUUCUACUUUUUUUGUGGGCCAGGCAGUUAUAGAUGCCCUAACAAAACUUCGACCCAAUUUUUCCUUUUUUUUUGAUUCCUUAGAAUCUUUUUUUUCUUUCUGGCGGUAUCAAACAACCACCUAAUAUCUUAUCCGCCUCUUCAGGAAAAUGAAUAUUUUUCUGUUUUAACAAAUUCAAUAUAAAAAAACCAAACUUUUUCUUUUAUUUUCUUUUUGAAAAAAAUGGAUUUCAUUGAAGUAAUAAAACUAUUCCAAUUCGAAUAAUGAUAGUAUCUUGUACCUGAACCGGUGGCUCACCUUUUCUAAGUAAUGGGGAAGAAUUUUAAUGUAAGAAUAAAGAAUUGAAUUAAAGGGCUUGCUUUGGAACCAGGCCAAUUUGGGAGCGGCUUUGUGAUAAUGGAACCAACCAGCAAAAAGCAUUAACACUGCAAAAAUCCAAAAUAGAAUUAGUCCCGCUCAUUAUGAACCGAAAGGGGCUCGUAUUUUGCCAAGAAAUCUCUAGCCAACCUUCCCACAAGAGGUUUUUCUUAACACCUCCGAUGCGAAAGUAAUUGUGCAUCAUUCGCAUACUUGUAGCAGCUUCAAAUAGAUCAGACAUAGUUUGGAAGUUAGACCUUUUUAUAGGACUCUCUUUCAAUUUCAAAAAAGAGGACGUUUGAAACUUCGAAUCUGUUGUCAUUCUACUGCAACAGUUGUACUGCAACAGUAGUACAGUGUGAAUUUGCCAGUACAUUCAAUGUACUGACCCUUUGUGGCUGCAACGUCUCAUGUUGCAGGACUUCUUACGACGAGUAAGUGAUACGUUAGGGUUACGAUUUCUACACUCAACUUUGCCGUUGGUGUUGAUGGGAUACUUCCACUAUUUGGAUUGAGGUAAUAGUAUUUACAUUAUUUUAUACAUGUGAUUUACCUCUGUUAUAAAUCCUCGAGUACUGUGUGUGUCAGCAUACCGAUCCAGGGAUGACACUUAAGCACAGAGACUUGACCGUCUAAGGUCGGGUCGCUACAAGAUGGUAUCGGAGCACAUGUUGACUGUAGGACGUGACCCCUAGAAACUGGCAAACCCAUAGGAAGGAUUUUCUCUAAAACUUUCUUUUUCAAAAGAUCUUUUACCUCUCUUCUCUUUUGAGCUUAUUCAAAUAUUCACUUUUAGUGAGACCAUACCCCUUUUUCCCUUUUGACCACUCGAAGAUUCGGCUGACGAGACCACUCCAAGAAGUACAAGAUAUCGGACAACCACGACUGUCGUGGAAUUGUCACGGCAGAUGUCCUCAAGCUAGGACUUAGUCGUGGAGCCAUCGCCGCUAGGAAGCUUGAAGGGGUUAACGGGACAAGGAACACGAGGGUUUAUACUGGUUCGGACCCUUACGGUGAAGGUAAAAGCCUACGUCCAGUUGAGGUGGUAUUGAUUAGGGUUUCGAUGACCAGGGAGCUUAACUGCUAUGCCCGGCUCUCGAUGAGAUCUUUCUUGUCCCUAAACCGCUGCCGGGUCGUCCCUCUAUAUAGGGAGGCUGAUGCCCAGCAGCUCUCAGAGUCCCGGCCGGCUCAUAAGAGUGUCCGGCUCGGACUCUCAACUAUUCUUGCCUUACACUACAAGUUCUACCAUAAUGACGGUUGUAACUACGGGCCUUAAGCCAUAUCCGGGUCUUAAGCCCAUCUUUGGCCCACCGUCUUCAAGCUUGUCGCCGGGCUUCUGGUGAUGACCAUUAUGAGUAACCCGGCCCCUUCUGGUGGGUGACUCUAAGGUCUAUAUCCUCAACAUUAGGCCCCAGAUUGAUUUGAGCCGGCUCAUGUCAAUCUUCAAUUCUUUCGACAGAAAAUCUCCGGCUUACAAUUGUGUGAAGGCCAUAACCCGGCGUGACGUCAUCCUCUAGACUCCGGGUAAUCCGCCGUGACGUCAUCUUCCAUUAAGUCCAUUUUUUAUUCCACCAGAUCCGCAACGAAUCUUAUCUUUACUGCCAUCCCGAAAAUCGAGGCGUUUUAUGGGGAGAUAACCACGCCGUGGUCUCCUCGUUUCUCGCGCCCACUUACGAGUCUGGCCUUAUAAAUAGUCCGGCGCGAUGAGCCUUCAGCCACCCGUCUUCCUCCUCGCGCCACUGCUCCUCCGCUCGAGCUCUGUCGCCGUCGCCGCCGCGGGUCUUCUCGUCCUCACCAACUCCGGCCGCUGCAUCAACCUGUUGUGUCCAGAGAACGGCAGCGUCCUCCGCGACUCACCAGCACCUGUAAGUCCUUGCUGCCCCGUAGAACAGAUCUGCAGUAGGGUUUCUUCUUGUUCUUCCCGUGUUUCUUCACCGUUCUUCGCAGGCCCUCGGUAGAUUUGAUUUUUUACCACCCCUUUUGAUCUUAGACUUGUAUAGAACCACUGCGGUAGCUAUUUCACUUCCAUUCCUAAUGCAAAUAGAUCCCCUUUUUACUGCAUAGAUGCUUUGUUCGAACCCGCAGACUUCUUCUGCAUCUGUUUUUAGGUCUAGGAAUUUUCCUUUUCAACCGACCGUUUUGAUCCAAAUUAUUUACUGCGAUGUGUGAAACCUGUUUUCACCACACUUAGUAAAAAA
Molecule: long non-coding RNA, 6597 nt
Filed under: Triticum aestivum (bread wheat)
Lineage: Eukaryota; Viridiplantae; Streptophyta; Magnoliopsida; Poales; Poaceae
Description: long non-coding RNA (TAES_LNC013221)
Source: RNAcentral